This 274-nucleotide ribosomal RNA is filed under the name uncultured bacterium. Its description in RNAcentral is "partial 16S ribosomal RNA". It matches the Rfam family "Bacterial small subunit ribosomal RNA", at positions 523 to 796 of the family's 1533-position model. The record is from RNAcentral.
AUACGGAGGGGGUUAGCGUUGUUCGGAAUUACUGGGCGUAAGGCGCACGUAGGCGGAUUGGAAAGUUGGGGGGUAAAUCCCAGGGCUCAACCCUGGAACUGCCUCCAAAACUAACAGUCUAGAGUUCGAGAGAGGUGAGUGGAAUUCCAAGUGUAGAGGUGAAAUUCGUAGAUAUUUGGAGGAACACCAGUGGCGAAGGCGGCUCACUGGCUCGAUACUGACGCUGAGGUGCGAAAGCGUGGGGAGCAAACAGGAUUAGAUACCCCAGUAGUCC